GUGCCAGCCGCUGCGGUAAUACGGAGGGUGCAAGCGUUAAUCGGAAUUACUGGGCGUAAAGCGCACGCAGGCGGUCUGUCAAGUCGGAUGUGAAAUCCCCGGGCUCAACCCGGGAACUGCAUUCGAAACUGUCAGGCUGGAGUCUCGUAGAGGGGGGUAGAAUUCCAGGUGUAGCGGUGAAAUGCGUAGAGAUCUGGAGGAAUACCGGUGGCGAAGGCGGCCCCCUGGACGAAGACUGACGCUCAGGUGCGAAAGCGUGGGGAGCAAACAGGAUUAGAUACCCUGGUAGUCCACGCCGUAAACGAUGUCUAUUUGGAGGUUGUGCCCUUGAGGUGUGGCUUCCGGAGCUAACGCGUUAAAUAGACCGCCUGGGGAGUACGGCCGCAAGGUUAAAACUCAAAUGAAUUGACGGGGCCCGCACAAGCGGUGGAGCAUGUGGUUUAAUUCGAUGCAACGCGAAGAACCUUACCUGGUCUUGACAUCCACAGAACUUGGCAGAGAUGCCUUGGUGCCUUCGGGAACUGUGAGACAGGUGC
Molecule: ribosomal RNA, 536 nt
Filed under: uncultured Citrobacter sp.
Lineage: Bacteria; Pseudomonadati; Pseudomonadota; Gammaproteobacteria; Enterobacterales; Enterobacteriaceae
Description: bacterial SSU rRNA
Rfam family: Bacterial small subunit ribosomal RNA
Source: RNAcentral